GUAGGGAAUAUUGCACAAUGGGCGAAAGCCUGAUGCAGCAACGCCGCGUGUGCGAUGAAGGCCUUCGGGUCGUAAAGCACUUUUUGAGGAGAUGAGGAAGGACAGUAUCCUCAGAAUAAGGUCCGGCUAACUACGUGCCAGCAGCCGCGGUAACACGUAGGGACCAAGCGUUAUCCGAAUUUACUGGGCGUAAAGCGUGUGCAGGUGGUUUAGCAAGUUGGAUGUGAAAGCUCCUGGCUCAACUGGGAGAGGCCGUUCAAGACUGCUAGACUUGAGGAUGGUAGAGGAAGGUAGAAUUCCCGGUGUAGUAGUGAAAUGCGUAGAUAUCGGGAGGAAUACCAGUGGCGAAGGCGGCCUUCUGGACCAUUCCUGACACUCAGACACGAAAGCUAGGGUAGCGAAUGGGAUUAGAUACCCUGGUAGUCC
RNAcentral lists this ribosomal RNA (426 nucleotides) under uncultured bacterium. Its description in RNAcentral is "bacterial SSU rRNA". It matches the Rfam family "Bacterial small subunit ribosomal RNA", at positions 354 to 796 of the family's 1533-position model. The record is from RNAcentral.